ACGCUGGCGGCACGCCUAACACAUGCAAGUCGAACGAAGUAGCAAUACUUAGUGGCAGACGGGUGAGUAACAUGUAGGUAUCUGCCCUUUGGCCUGGAAUAACACGAGGAAACUUGUGCUAAUACCGGAUAAGUCUUUACGGAGAAAGCUUUAUGCACCAUUGGAUGAGCCUGCACUUGAUUAGUUUGUUGGUGGGGUAAUGGCCUACCAAGACUGUGAUCAAUAGCUGAUUUGAGAGGAUGAUCAGCCACAUUGGGACUGAGACACGGCCCAAACUCCUACGGGAGGCAGCAGUGGGGAAUCUUGCACAAUGGAGGAAACUCUGAUGCAGCGAUGCCGCGUGAGUGAAGAAGGCCUUUGGGUUGUAAAGCUCUUUCGUCGGGGAAGAAAAUGACUGUACCCGAAUAAGAAGGUCCGGCUAACUUCGUGCCAGCAGCCGCGGUAAUACGAAGGGACCUAGCGUAGUUCGGAAUUACUGGGCUUAAAGAGUUCGUAGGUGGUUGAAAAAGUUGGUGGUGAAAUCCCAGAGCUUAACUCUGGAACUGCCAUCAAAACUUUUCAGCUAGAGUAUGAUAGAGGAAAGCAGAAUUUCUAGUGUAGAGGUGAAAUUCGUAGAUAUUAGAAAGAAUACCAAUUGCGAAGGCAGCUUUCUGGAUCAUUACUGACACUGAGGAACGAAAGCAUGGGUAGCGAAGAGGAUUAGAUACCCUCGUAGUCCAUGCCGUAAACGAUGUGUGUUAGACGUUGGAAAUUUAUUUUCAGUGUCGCAGCGAAAGCGAUAAACACACCGCCUGGGGAGUACGACCGCAAGGUUAAAACUCAAAUGAAUUGACGGGGACCCGCACAAGUAGUGGAGCAUGUGGUUUAAUUCGAAGAUUCGCGCAGAACCUUACCAACACUUGACAUGUUCGUCGCGACUUUAAGAGAUUAAAGUUUUCGGUUCGGCCGGACGAAACACAGGUGCUGCAUGGCUGUCGUCAGCUCGUGUCGUGAGAUGUUGGGUUAAGUCCCGCAACGAGCGCAACCCCCACUUUUAGUUGCCAUCAUUAAGUUGGGCACUCUGAAAGAACUGCCAGUGAUAAGCUGGAGGAAGGUGGGGAUGACGUCAAGUCUUCAUGGCCCUUACGUGUUGGGCUACACACGUGCUACAAUGGUAUUUACAACAGGAAGCAAAACGGCGACGUUAAGCAAAUCCUUAAAAAAUACCUCAGUUCGGAUUGCACUCUGCAACUCGAGUGCAUGAAGCUGGAAUUACUAGUAAUCGUGGAUCAGCGUGCCACGGUGAAUGCGUUCCCGGGUCUUGUACACACCGCCCGUCACACCAUGGGAGUUGGUUCUACCUUAAGGCAAGGUUUAAAACCCUUGACCACGGUAUAGUCAGCGACUGGGGUG
Molecule: ribosomal RNA, 1392 nt
Filed under: uncultured marine bacterium
Lineage: Bacteria
Description: 16S ribosomal RNA
Rfam family: Bacterial small subunit ribosomal RNA
Source: RNAcentral